GGGUUGUGAGGUUAAGCGACUAAGCGUACACGGUGGAUGCCCUGGCAGUCAGAGGCGAUGAAGGGCGUACUAAUCUGCGAUAAGCGCCGGUAAGGUGAUAUGAACCGUUAUAACCGGCGAUACCCGAAUGGGGAAACCCAGUGUGAUUCGUCACACUAUCAUUAACUGAAUCCAUAGGUUAAUGAGGCGAACCGGGGGAACUGAAACAUCUAAGUACCCCGAGGAAAAGAAAUCAACCGAGAUUCCCCCAGUAGCGGCGAGCGAACGGGGAGGAGCCCAGAGCCUGAAUCAGCAUGUGUGUUAGUGGAAGCGUCUGGAAAGGCGCGCGAUACAGGGUGACAGCCCCGUACACAAAAGCGCAUGUGCUGUGAGCUCGAUGAGUAGGGCGGGACACGUGGUAUCCUGUCUGAAUAUGGGGGGACCAUCCUCCAAGGCUAAAUACUCCUGACUGACCGAUAGUGAACCAGUACCGUGAGGGAAAGGCGAAAAGAACCCCGGCGAGGGGAGUGAAAAAGAACCUGAAACCGUGUACGUACAAGCAGUGGGAGCCCCACCACCAAAGCAUUUGCUGUACCGCGUUGACGGAGCGAAGCGACGUCAAA
This 602-nucleotide ribosomal RNA is filed under the name Salmonella enterica subsp. enterica serovar Enteritidis. RNAcentral's name for it is "partial 23S ribosomal RNA". It matches the Rfam family "Bacterial large subunit ribosomal RNA", at positions 1 to 588 of the family's 2925-position model. Lineage: Bacteria; Pseudomonadati; Pseudomonadota; Gammaproteobacteria; Enterobacterales; Enterobacteriaceae. The record is from RNAcentral.